This 253-nucleotide ribosomal RNA is filed under the name uncultured bacterium. RNAcentral's name for it is "partial 16S ribosomal RNA". It matches the Rfam family "Bacterial small subunit ribosomal RNA", at positions 524 to 776 of the family's 1533-position model. The record is from RNAcentral.
GACAGAGGUGCCAAGCGUUAGGCGGAAUCACUGGGCUUAAAGCGUGUGUAGGUGGAUGCCUAAGUACCUUGUGAAAUCCCACGGCUCACCCGUGGAACUGCUUGGUAUACUGGGUGUCUUGAGCCACUUAGGGGUCGCUGGAACAAACGGUGGAGCGGUGAAAUGCGUAGAUAUCGUUUGGAACGCCAAUGGUGAAAACAGGCGACUGGGAGUGUGCUGACACUGAGACACGAAAGCCAGGGGAGCGAACGGG